RNAcentral lists this long non-coding RNA (1509 nucleotides) under Gadus morhua (Atlantic cod). RNAcentral describes it as "lncRNA (ENSGMOG00000022439.1)". Lineage: Eukaryota; Metazoa; Chordata; Actinopteri; Gadiformes; Gadidae. The record is from RNAcentral.
AUGGGUGUCCGCGGCGGGACGAGGCGCGUCGCCGUGACCCUCGGCUGCGUUCUGCUAUCGAUGCUCUACUUGCCAGAGUCUCUCCAGAUGACGGUGACCCCCGACGCAGGAGCCACGGUCACCGUGCACUCUCAGGGGGACUCGUGCACGCUGUGCACGGGGAACGCCACGGUGCCAGCGGCGUGCGACUCCACAGAGGUUUCCCUGCCCCCCGGGGACAACGUGACCCUCCAUUUCUCCUGCUCAGAGACCCUGGGGGCGUCCUACCGGGCCCGGAUCCAGCGCGCCAUCGCAUGCACCAAGGACCGCUGCAGCCCGGCCCAGGGGGUGGCCCAGGCCUCCUUCCUCUCCGCCCUCCCCCGGACCCUCACCUGGGCGCUGGCGGUCCCUGAGGACACCAUGGCGGAGCUCAACCUCAUCGGGGACGGGCUGAAGGAGGCGGCGGCGGGGGACGCGGCGGCGGCGUCCUGCCCCGACGGCUCCACCUACGUCCUGACCCGGACGACCCCCGACGGCGGGCCCGCGACCCGGACGUACUGCCGCGGCGGCAGCACCACCGCCCUCACGCUGCCGGGGGGCGGGGCCCUGACGCUGGCCCUGGGACCCGGGGUGGAGGCCCCGCCCACGGUGUUCUCGGUGACCGCCAAGCCGCUCAAAGGCCCCACCGUCCCGGUCACCCUCGACCCCGGCCUCACCAUGGUGAUCCGCCGGGCGCCCGGCCGCCCGCAGUGCGGGGUGUGCACCGACAAGGGGGCGAGGUGCAGCCCUACCGACGUGUCGCUGAGCAAGGCGCAGGCGGCGGAGCUGGAGUUCGGCUGCCCCGAGCCACAGGAGGUUUUCAACGUGCGCCUCCAGAGGAUGAUAGACUGCACCGAGACUGCCUGCACCCCGCCCUCCGGAGAACUUCUGCCCGGCCUGCUGUCGGACUUCAGGAGGACCUUCUCCUGGGACGUGAGCCUGGCCAGGAGAAGCGUCCUCACUCUGGACUUCCCGGCGCCGGGACUGAAGGAGACGACGGCGGAGGACGGCUGCCAAGACGCACACAAGUACUCUGUUCGUACGAGCGACCGCGGAGGGGAGACCGAGACCACGUACUGCAGCGGGGGGCCGCUGACACAGCUCAUGUUCCUGGGAAAGACUUCGCUGGCCCUGGAGGUUCCCCGGGGGGCGGUACCGGACAAGGUGGCGUUCCGGGCCUCGGCGGCUCCCAGACCCAGCAGGACCACGCUCGUGACCCCUGACCCCAACACCGACAUCAUCCUGAAACGUGAGGGCGAGGAGCCCGACUGUGAGGUGUGCGUGGGCCCCAAGUGUGACCCCUCGUACCUUAACCAGAGAUACGCUGGGAACUUCUCGGUGGUGUUCGGCUGCCCCGGCCCUCAGGAUCUGUACGAGGCGCAGAUCAUCCAGGAGAUCGGUACGAACUUUUUUCGCAAUUCGCCUUCCGAUGUUUUUUCCAUUAAAUUUGUAUUUCCCCCAAGAAAGAAAAAAAUAUAUAUAUUACAAUAG